This 1481-nucleotide long non-coding RNA is filed under the name Homo sapiens (human). Its description in RNAcentral is "HSALNT0093672". Lineage: Eukaryota; Metazoa; Chordata; Mammalia; Primates; Hominidae. The record is from RNAcentral.
AGAAGACACUUGAGGCUGUGAGGAUGGAUGAGAUGGCCAGAGGCAGCCUGUAAGAGGCUGGAGAUGAGGGCCUGCCUGUCGCCAGAACCCGGGAGUAUCUUCUACCCAACAGCAGAGUAGAAUGAGCCUGCAGUAGGCCCCAUCAACACACUUUGUGUCUUUCUCAUGAUCGUCUUGGCAACUUAAGAGCAGAAAAAAUAGAUAAGAGGCAGCAGAGUUGGGGACUGAUGUGGAGACAAUGGCUAGGAGGGAGAGCUGGAAUUGACCUGGAUCCUUGUGGGAAAUACUUCAGUGAUGGAUGGAAGCAGAGGGAGAAAGGACCAAAAUGAAGCCAGGAGGGACAAGAUGGCUGGAAUGUUUGGUUCUGAGGAUUCAUGAUUGUCCUUAACUCACACGGACUGAACUCUCGCUUGCCUGUCUUCCUGGGGCUUGUGUAAGAACAUCCUGCAGAAAAGUAUUAACAACGCGAGUGAUCUUCACUGUGUUUAACGAUUCAUUGAUUGUAAAAGAUGUUUUACCUGGGAUAACAAUGAGUGUGUAUUCCUGGAGCCUAAACUCACUGACCUGGAAGGGGGCCCCGAGAAGUGUGCUAAGUGGACAAAGGAAGCCUGGCUAGAGUUUAUAGUUUUCUAACUAGAUAAUUGAGUGAACUAAAAGGUCUUUUAUUAUCCUUAUGUGGAUUACGUACUUUGCAGGAUAUGCAUAGUCAUUAUUAAAACCAUGUGUACUCCUGUCUCACUUCUGAGCACCUUCUCUGAAAUCAGUCCAUAUAUGCUCAGGAAUGCAAACCACACUCAUUUCAGAGUCAGUGUCAACAAACAUAAUUAAGGAGGCAAAUUUACUUCAUAAGUUUUCUAAUGCCUUCUGCAUUAAAUAGAAAUGACUUUUGGCUGCUCCCAUCUAUUCAUGUGUAUAAUUGUUAAGUUCAGAUCUGAUUUUCCUGGAAGAACAAGUUUGAAUCUCAACAGGCUUGAUCUAGUCUCCCAUCUCCAUGUUCCCCAUAGUGACAGGUAAUUCAUGGAAAUUACUGUCUCAGCAUUUUAAAUAAACCUCCUUUAAGCUGAAAUCAAGAUGAUCUCAUAUAGAAAAGAGUGUAGGUAAAACUCAUAUUUAAGAAAUGGUACAGAGUGAGCAGAAAUUCUCACAGAAUUUUUGAGUCAGAAAUAUUUUUGUUAUACGGGAAAAAGGGACUUGCAGUUGUGCUCUUGAUUAUAAAAAGAAAGGAAAUCAAAUAGCUUUGAAAUGUUCCAUUAAAACCUUAUUUUAAUAUAUUCUUGCCACAAUGUAAGGACCUAUGUAAACUAAGUAAAAUUUCAUGACUCACACUGAGUUGCAUUUUGUAUCAUUUUCUUGUCUUCAUUGCUAUUUCUUUUCUUUUCUUUUUUUUUUUUUUUUCUCGAGACAGAGUCUCACUUUGUUGCCAGGCUGGAGUGCAGUAGCGUGAUCUCAGCUGACUGCAAUCUCCACCUCCCAGGUUCAAG